CUGCCCUCCACUUACCAUGUAGACUCCAGAAGAGCUGGAUCAGCUUCUCAAAUAUCCCUUGUCUGCCGCAGCAGCCCAGCAAACAUCGCCAUCUACUCAUUCCCAUAGUACACUAAUCCCUUCCUGGCUUGGCACAAGAUUUAGAAGAACAUUUCCUGCUCUCAUCUCCUUCACUUAAAGUUGCAAUCAUCUCUAAGAACCAGAGGGUGCCAGCUACACUCCUGAACCCUCUGCAAAGGGAACCACCACGGCUGCUGAGCCUCACAAGAAAAGAACAACUAGAUAUGAAACGUUUUUUCCUCAAAGAUGACUACCACCCAAUUUUACGGCAUGACAGAGAGGAGUAGUAAAGCCACAGUCUCCUUGAGUAACUCUUUUGAAAUAGAGGCAAAAGGUCUACCUUUCUAAUUUUAUUGAAAGAGGCAAGCAGGAAGAUUAUACCAUGCAACAAUCCAGAUCUGGGCUUUGCAGAGCAUCUUUUCAACACUGUUGCUAAACCUCUCAGAUUUAAAGGAAGAGAAAGAGAAAGAAAAAACCCUGCAAAAUAGGUCCUGUUUAGAUGGGAUCCCUGCCUUUGUUGGAUGGGACCUUCCUAUAAGGACAAACUUGUCUUGCAUCCUUGAUGCUUCCUACUUACUCUCCUCCCCAAAAUGAGAGGUUAAGCAUGGGUUUGCAGGGGUGAUUUAAAAAACAGAAGUCUUAAGGAGCAGCAGGCAGGCAGCCUCCAAAUGCAGGGGUGGAGAGAAGCUACAGAUGGGCUGAUCUCUCAGGCGCUCCACUGAAAUCCAGGGAGGUGGGAACGGGUCUGCAAAGGGACUUAAAACACUGCUGAGACUUUCUGAAAACCUCCUAAGAUAAAAGUCAGGGAUUUAACCCCAUCACACUGUAUGACAUAAACUCUGUCCCAUCUUCAAACAUCACAAACCCCACAUAUUUCUAGCAGUACAUAUAGAAACACCUUUUAAUGCCUAAACUACGUCUACACUGUCAGAGUCUGAAGCAUUACUGCCAUAUCUUCAUAACCUUGAUGAGACCUGUAGCACAAAGAAAGCCUGUGUGAGUUUUUAAUCCCAUAUAGACAGAGCUCUAAGUUGCUGACUUCUGUAUUAAGUUGGACUUCCAGGCUCUCAACUAUCUGAAACAAAAAAAAAAACCAAAAACCCAAGCUCUGCAAGCAUCAUCUUGUCUUCUGCAUUCAUCUAUUCUAUAGGUCUACUAUGUGGACCAAGUUGACCCUUUUUUCCACUGAACAGGUAA
Molecule: long non-coding RNA, 1257 nt
Organism: Serinus canaria (Common canary)
Lineage: Eukaryota; Metazoa; Chordata; Aves; Passeriformes; Fringillidae
Exons: 3
Source: RefSeq, a predicted model, not a curated record